This 465-nucleotide long non-coding RNA is filed under the name Struthio camelus australis. RNAcentral describes it as "lncRNA (ENSSCUG00000014009.1)". Lineage: Eukaryota; Metazoa; Chordata; Aves; Struthioniformes; Struthionidae. The record is from RNAcentral.
UGCCGCCCUCUGCCGCUCGCCCCAGGCCAGCUGCAUUUCAGCACAGGGGAGGCGAUGGAGGCCGGCAGGCGGGAGGGCCCUCUGGAGCCUGGACUGAGCUCGAUCGGGUGCGUGGGGCUGGGGUCGCAUCGUGCUCACCCACGCUGCUUUCCUCAGGGCUUGCCAGGAGUGCCAGGACACCCCGGGGCUCAGGGUGAACGUGGUGAGAGAGGAGAAGUGGGAGACAAGGGUGCCCGAGGACUGCCUGGGCGCAGGGGCAUCCCUGGGAGCAGAGGAGAAACGGGCGUCCACGGCAGCACGGGACCUCCAGGAGAGAUGGGCCUGCAGGGCUUGCCGGGCGUUCCCACCUCCACGGUAAGGGCUGCUGGUGCGGGGCUGGCUGGGGACGGGGACCCGGCCUCACCGCGAGGCUGCAGGGGGCUCUCGGGGGUCAGGGCUUUGCUCGGAAUAGCUGGGACAUAGGAG